AUGCAAGACUACUUUGCAGAGGUACCGACAUACCCACCCCGCCUCUUCCGUAGAAGGUACCGCAUGCGCCGUACUUUGCUUGAGAGAAUCGUCAAAGAUUGCGAGGCCAACUCGCAUUAUUUCACGCGCCGUAGAAAUGCUGGCGGUGCCAUGGGAUUUAGUGCAUACCAGAAGAUAUCGGCUGCAAUGCGGGUGCUCGCGUAUGGUAUACCCGCGGACUACUGUGACGAGUAUCUUCGCAUUGACCAAGAUACUACCACCGAGUCCGUGCGUAGGUUUGCCAAGAUGGUCAUUCGGUUGUAUGGUGAUUUGUAUCUUCGGGCUCCCAAUGAGGAAGAUACAAAGAGGUUGAUGGAGACAAAUGAAAAAAGGGGAUGGCCGGGCAUGCUUGGUAGUCUAGAUUGCAUGCACUGGAAAUGGAAAAAUUGCCCAAAGGCAUGGCAUGGAAUGUAUUACGGUAAAAGCCAUGAUCCUACCAUUGUGCUUGAGAUUGUGGAAUCGCAAGACUUAUGGAUUUGGCAUGCAUAUUGUGGUUUGCCGGGAACACUCAAUGACAUCAAUGUGCUUCAAAUGUCCCCUUUAUUUGCAAGACUAGCUUGA
This 600-nucleotide ribosomal RNA is filed under the name Triticum aestivum (bread wheat). Its description in RNAcentral is "partial small subunit ribosomal RNA". Lineage: Eukaryota; Viridiplantae; Streptophyta; Magnoliopsida; Poales; Poaceae. The record is from RNAcentral.